UACGGGGGGAGCAAGCGUUGUUCGGAUUUACUGGGCGUAAAGGGCGCGUAGGCGGCCAGCACAAGUCAGUUGUGAAAUCUCCGAGCUUAACUCGGAAAGGUCAACUGAUACUGUGCGGCUGGAGUGCAGAAGGGGCAACUGGAAUUCUUGGUGUAGCGGUGAAAUGCGUAGAUAUCGUAAGGAAGACCAGUGGCGAAGGCGGGUCUCUGGACAGUUCCUGACGCUGAGGCACGAAGGUCAGGGGAGCAAACGGG
RNAcentral lists this ribosomal RNA (254 nucleotides) under uncultured bacterium. RNAcentral's name for it is "partial 16S ribosomal RNA". It matches the Rfam family "Bacterial small subunit ribosomal RNA", at positions 524 to 776 of the family's 1533-position model. The record is from RNAcentral.